AUUGAACGCUGGCGGCAUGCCUUACACAUGCAAGUCGAACGGCAGCACGGGUGCUUGCACCUGGUGGCGAGUGGCGAACGGGUGAGUAAUACAUCGGAACGUACCUUAUCGUGGGGGAUAACGCAGCGAAAGCUGUGCUAAUACCGCAUACGCCCUGAGGGGGAAAGCGGGGGAUCGCAAGACCCCGCGCGAUUAGAGCGGCCGAUGCCUGAUUAGCUUGUUGGUGGGGUAAAAGCCCACCAAGGCGACGAUCAGUAGCUGGUCUGAGAGGACGAUCAGCCACACUGGGACUGAGACACGGCCCAGACUCCUACGGGAGGCAGCAGUGGGGAAUUUUGGACAAUGGGGGCAACCCUGAUCCAGCAAUGCCGCGUGAGUGAAGAAGGCCUUCGGGUUGUAAAGCUCUUUUGUCAGGGAAGAAACACCGGCUCUAACACAGUCCGGGAAUGACGGUACCUGAAGAAUCAGCACCGGCUAACUACGUGCCAGCAGCCGCAGUAA
Molecule: ribosomal RNA, 501 nt
Filed under: uncultured bacterium
Lineage: Bacteria
Description: partial 16S ribosomal RNA
Rfam family: Bacterial small subunit ribosomal RNA
Source: RNAcentral